Molecule: ribosomal RNA, 492 nt
Filed under: uncultured bacterium
Lineage: Bacteria
Description: partial 16S ribosomal RNA
Rfam family: Bacterial small subunit ribosomal RNA
Source: RNAcentral
AGUGAACGCUGGCGGUAGGCCUAACACAUGCAAGUCGAACGGCAGCACAGUAAGAGCUUGCUCUUACGGGUGGCGAGUGGCGGACGGGUGAGGAAUACAGCGGAAUCUACUUUUUCGUGGGGGAUAACGUAGGGAAACUUACGCUAAUACCGCAUACUACCUACGGGUGAAAGCAGGGGAUCUUCGGACCUUGCGCGAUUGAAUGAGCCGAUGUCGGAUUAGCUAGUUGGCGGGGUAAAGGCCCACCAAGGCGACGAUCCGUAGCUGGUCUGAGAGGAUGGUCAGCCACACUGGAACGGAGACACGGUCCAGACUCCUACGGGAGGCGGCAGUGGGGAAUAGUGGACAAGGGGCGGAAGCCUGAUCCAGCCAUACCGCGUGGGUGAAGAAGGCCUUCGGGUUGUAAAGCCCUUUUGUUGGGAAAGAAAAGCAGCAGGUUAAUACCCCGCUGUUCUGACGGUACCCAAAGAAUAAGCACCGGCUAACUUCGUG